Podarcis lilfordi (Lilford's wall lizard) is the source of this 69-nucleotide non-coding RNA. Lineage: Eukaryota; Metazoa; Chordata; Lepidosauria; Squamata; Lacertidae. The record is from the annotation of a GenBank genome assembly.
UGUUGGCUCAGGGGGUAGAGCAUCUGCCUUCUGUGCAGAAGGGCCCAGGUUCAAUCCCUGGCAUCUCAG